ACGAAGGGUGCGAGCGUUACUCGGAAUUACUGGGCGUAAAGGGUGCGUAGGCGGUUCGUUAAGUCUGUCGUGAAAUCCCCGGGCUCAACCUGGGAACUGCCUUUGUGACUGCGAGGCUAGAGUAUGGCAGAGGGGGGUGGAAUUCCACGUGUAGCAGUGAAAUGCGUAGAGAUGUGGAGGAACACCGAUGGCGAAGGCAGCCCCCUGGGCCAAUACUGACGCUCAUGCACGAAAGCGUGGGGAGCAAACAGGA
RNAcentral lists this ribosomal RNA (253 nucleotides) under uncultured prokaryote. RNAcentral's name for it is "partial 16S ribosomal RNA". It matches the Rfam family "Bacterial small subunit ribosomal RNA", at positions 525 to 777 of the family's 1533-position model. The record is from RNAcentral.